UUCAAGGGGUGUCUGCUUUUGCAGGCUGAGAUGAUACCCUCUAACCUGAUCCGGAUCAUACCGGCGUAGGGAUGGAAUAAA
Molecule: non-coding RNA, 81 nt
Filed under: uncultured Prevotella sp.
Lineage: Bacteria; Pseudomonadati; Bacteroidota; Bacteroidia; Bacteroidales; Prevotellaceae
Description: TPP riboswitch (THI element)
Rfam family: TPP riboswitch aptamer (THI element)
About the family: Vitamin B(1) in its active form thiamin pyrophosphate (TPP) is an essential coenzyme that is synthesised by coupling of pyrimidine and thiazole moieties in bacteria. The previously detected thiamin-regulatory element, thi box was extended, resulting in a new, highly conserved RNA secondary structure, the THI element, which is widely distributed in eubacteria and also occurs in some archaea. Analysis of operon structures identified a large number of new candidate thiamin-regulated genes, mostly transporters, in various prokaryotic organisms.
Source: RNAcentral